RNAcentral lists this ribosomal RNA (447 nucleotides) under uncultured bacterium. RNAcentral's name for it is "partial 16S ribosomal RNA". It matches the Rfam family "Bacterial small subunit ribosomal RNA", at positions 328 to 792 of the family's 1533-position model. The record is from RNAcentral.
GUACCAGACUCCUACGGGAGGCAGCAGUGGGGAAUAUUGCACAAUGGGCGAAAGCCUGAUGCAGCGACGCCGCGUGAGCGAUGAAGUAUUUCGGUAUGUAAAGCUCUAUCAGCAGGGAAGAAAAUGACGGUACCUGACUAAGAAGCCCCGGCUAACUACGUGCCAGCAGCCGCGGUAAUACGUAGGGGGCAAGCGUUAUCCGGAUUCACUGGGUGUAAAGGGAGCGUAGACGGCGACGCAAGUCUGGAGUGAAAGCCCGGGGCCCAACCCCGGGACUGCUCUGGAAACUGCGGCGCUGGAGUACGGGAGGGGCAGGCGGAAUUCCUGGUGUAGCGGUGAAAUGCGUAGAUAUCAGGAGGAACACCGGCGGCGAAGGCGGCCUGCUGGACCGUAACUGGCGUUGAGGCUCGAAAGCGUGGGGAGCAAACAGGAUUAGAUACCCCCGUA